Non-coding RNA from Magnaporthiopsis poae ATCC 64411, 123 nucleotides. NCBI's taxonomy places the organism in Eukaryota, Fungi, Ascomycota, Sordariomycetes, Magnaporthales, Magnaporthaceae. The record is from the annotation of a GenBank genome assembly.
GCCGCGAUGGUCUAAUGGUAUGAUUCUCGCUUAGGGCUCACCCUGAGUUGUAGCUCGUGGGUUGGCAACACCCCCAUGCUCACUGAUACGCGAGAGAUCCCGGGUUCUAUCCCGGUUGCGGCC